RNAcentral lists this small nucleolar RNA (107 nucleotides) under Sorghum bicolor (sorghum). RNAcentral's name for it is "Plant small nucleolar RNA R71". It matches the Rfam family "Plant small nucleolar RNA R71". From Rfam's summary of the family: R71 is a member of the C/D box family of snoRNAs containing the C (UGAUGA) and D (CUGA) box motifs. Multiple nearly identical copies of this snoRNA have been identified in Arabidopsis, and it is thought to function as a 2'-O-ribose methylation guide for 18S ribosomal RNA. The record is from Rfam by way of RNAcentral. Lineage: Eukaryota; Viridiplantae; Streptophyta; Magnoliopsida; Poales; Poaceae.
AUUCCAUGAUGGGGACAUUCUAGGAUGUAGUCUUGGAAGCACUCCCAUGCUUCUGGAACGGAUUCAUCAUGUUGUUGCUGAAAACUUGUAAUCUUCCCACGGAGAGC